Leopardus geoffroyi (Geoffroy's cat) is the source of this 1046-nucleotide long non-coding RNA. RefSeq lists it as uncharacterized. NCBI's taxonomy places the organism in Eukaryota, Metazoa, Chordata, Mammalia, Carnivora, Felidae. The transcript has 6 exons. The record is from RefSeq and is a predicted model, not a curated record.
CCAACGGGCACGGCAGCUCGGGGGCACUUAGUGGGGCGCCCCAAACCUCUGCCACCCCCAAUUUCCUAGCGUGCCCCGCCUCUCUCCGUCCUCGCCUCCGGCCCGCCCCUUCCUCCCGGGCUAGCCCCCCGCAGUGCCCGCCCAACUCCAGGACUACGCGGAGAGACAGAAACCAAAACCCGGCACCCACGGAAAGCCUGGGCCUCCUUAAAGCCCCAACUCUGAGCGCUUUCUGGGCAGCUCUUGACUCGAACUCCACUGCGGCCCCUCACUGAUGGCAGCCAUGUUAGUUGCAUCCGGGUAUGUCGAGGAGCCCCGACCAAAGUCUCCCGGAAGUGACGCGAGCGCGGAGGGAUUCGCGUUCGGCUGAGGUGAAGGGGCUCCGGAAGCGGUUGCGGUAGAGACGGUGACAGGAAAGGAAAGUGCUCUACAGAUGGUUCUAAGAAGUCUUCGAUGAAGCUAAAGAGAGCAGAUUUCUCUAGUGUGUUGCCACCAUCCCCCUCUGGAGACUUGGGAAGCAGAAGGAUAGCAGUGAGACAGAGUGAAGCUGACAUGCAUAGAGAAGCUGGGAUCGUUUUCUCGGGGAAACUACCAUGUCUUGAAGACACUCAAGCAGCCCUAUGGAGAGACCCAUGUGGCAAGGAACUGAGGUCCACAGCCAGCAACCAGUGUAUGCACUUGGCAGACACGAGUAAGCUACCUUGGAAGCAGGUCUUUUAAGCCUCAUUAAACUUUCAGGUAACAACAUUCCUGGCUGACAUCUUAUAUAUAACCUCAGGAAAGACCCCCAAGUCAAACCCAGCAAGGAGAAAAUUUCACUGUCUUGAAGUGAUCUGCUUCCUGACACAAUCACCAUUAUUUAUAUAUUUAAAAGGAGAAAGAGGCAUAUGAGUACAAGAUAUAUAAGUACAUCUAAGGUGGAUUACUGCUCAUUUGCGUUUUCCAGGAGGCAUCUUGCAGACCAAUAGACCCAGUGAUAAAAAAUUUCCUUAAGGACAAGGAGUAUUCCUCAGUGUGCUUUUUAUUAAAGGAUGCAGAAAAUCUUG